This 288-nucleotide long non-coding RNA is filed under the name Populus tremula. RNAcentral's name for it is "long non-coding RNA (PTRE_LNC001197)". The record is from RNAcentral. Lineage: Eukaryota; Viridiplantae; Streptophyta; Magnoliopsida; Malpighiales; Salicaceae.
UUGGGUGUCCAAGAUUAAAAAGAUGGAAUCUUUUCUUGUUUUGAUUUAUGGGGCGUCGAAGAAAUCAUAGUAACUGUUUUGAUUUAGUAAAUGGGUGGAGAGUGAAUGAGAAAGAAACUUUUUUGGGGCUCUUUAUGAGGAGGAAAAAGAAGGGGGGCUAACAGUUAAGUGAUGUUGCUGUAUUUGGAAAUAUUGGUUAAGGAUUCAUGUCCAUGAUUCUUUCGUCUUCUGAGACCAGACAAGGACAAUCGAUGUUCAAAUGGUUGUGUUAUUUUAAGUUAACGGUUG